AUAACUUGUUAGGUGAGGCUCCUAUGGAAACACAGGCUACUGCUCAAAAAUGUCGAAAGACAGGAAUGGGUAGGACAGGAAUUGUCGAAUUAAGGCUUUUCACAAAGUAGCUAAAAGCGCCAGCUUUUUACGUUUCAUAGUGCUAAAACUCAACGAUGAGA
RNAcentral lists this small RNA (161 nucleotides) under Enterococcus caccae. RNAcentral describes it as "M-box riboswitch (ykoK leader)". It matches the Rfam family "M-box riboswitch aptamer (ykoK leader)". From Rfam's summary of the family: M-box riboswitch, also know as ykoK leader is described as a metaloregulatory RNA that sense divalent metals and function as a genetic control element of genes related to divalent metal transport in bacteria. It was first reported upstream of the B.subtilis ykoK gene and genes with related functions in other bacteria. The record is from RNAcentral. Lineage: Bacteria; Bacillati; Bacillota; Bacilli; Lactobacillales; Enterococcaceae.